UGGCGACUGGCCAAGGAGAAGCACCCUCU
This 29-nucleotide non-coding RNA is filed under the name Homo sapiens (human). Lineage: Eukaryota; Metazoa; Chordata; Mammalia; Primates; Hominidae. The record is from RNAcentral.